Molecule: long non-coding RNA, 815 nt
Organism: Oxyura jamaicensis (ruddy duck)
Lineage: Eukaryota; Metazoa; Chordata; Aves; Anseriformes; Anatidae
Exons: 2
Source: RefSeq, a predicted model, not a curated record
CAGAUAGAUGUGUAUGGCCAUGUAGAGAGUUAUGGUUUCUUUAAAGAUGUGGAUACACACCAGCCUUUGGUCUUGCUUUCUAUUCCCUAUUCAGGAAGCUAUAAAGAAAAGUUUUCCCACAUUCUUGGUUAUUAGACAAGGGGAGCACAAUAUGUGAUGAUGGUUAAAAUGAUUUAUGAUCUAGAGUAUUCCAAAGGAUAAACAACACAGAGAAGGAGAGAACUGCUGGACCACAAUCUUCUGGCAGCACAUGAAAGCCCAAUAAUGAUCUUGGAAAUGUAUUGAUUCAGGGAUUAGCAUGAAAGGCAUCCAGCUAGGAUGCUUUGUUCUGUUUUCGGUGGCAUCAUCGGAGACCUUGAGGAAGGUCGGUAGAUCACGUUGACUCUCGGUCAUUCCAGCUGGAAAUUGUGUAAGAAGCAAAGUCCUCGUGGAGGACCAGAUGUAUCCAUGCUUAUUGUUCCAGGGUAAAUAAAAGAAAAUCCUUUUCAUUUGUUUGAGCAGCUGCUGAUCUCCUGUGAAUUUUCUACUUCAUCAUUUUCAGAAUUUGGCUAAGUAACUGUACAUAUUUCUAAUUAUAUUUAAAGUGUAAUUUAAAUACACACUUCUAUUGCCAUUGUUAUGAAAUGUUAUGAGCCACACUUUAAAAGUGUAAUCAGAAAGGUUACAAGAGCAGUGACACAGAAAAAGCCCGUUGUGCUAGCCAGGCACAUUUCUCUUGACUACAUUACACGAGGCUUUUUGAGAGGGGGCAGAAAAGCAACAUCAUGAAAUAAGACCUGGAGGAUCUCUAAUGGUUUCUCUCUUAAAGCACAGCU